GCCAGCAGCCGCGGUAAUUCCAGCUCCAAUAGCGUAUAUUAAAGUUGUUGCAGUUAAAAAGCUCGUAGUUGAAUUUCGGGAUCAGUAUGUUGGUCGUGCUUCGGUACGUACUGUCAUUACUGGUUUCUCCCUUCUGAAGAACCUUGAUGUCAUUAAUUUGGUGUCUUGGGGAAUCAGGACUGUUACUUUGAAAAAAUUAGAGUGUUUAAAGCAGGCAUACGCUUGAAUACAUUAGCAUGGAAUAAUGAAAUAGGACGUUUGAUUCUAUUUUGUUGGUUUCUAGGAUCGACGUAAUGAUUAAUAGGGAUAGUUGGGGGCAUUAGUAUUCAAUUGUCAGAGGUGAAAUUCUUGGAUUUAUUGAAGACGAACUACUGCGAAAGCAUUUGCCAAGGAUGUUUUCAUUAAUCAAGAACGAAAGUUGGGGGAUCGAAGACGAUCAGAUACCGUCGUAGUCUUAACCAUAAACUAUGCCGACUAGGGAUCGGAUGAUGUUAUUUUUAAUGACUC
This 507-nucleotide ribosomal RNA is filed under the name uncultured Glomus. RNAcentral's name for it is "SSU rRNA". It matches the Rfam family "Eukaryotic small subunit ribosomal RNA", at positions 566 to 1077 of the family's 1831-position model. Lineage: Eukaryota; Fungi; Glomeromycota; Glomeromycetes; Glomerales; Glomeraceae. The record is from RNAcentral.